Small nucleolar RNA from Rattus rattus (black rat), 132 nucleotides. RefSeq annotates it as small nucleolar RNA SNORA17. The transcript has a single exon. The record is from RefSeq and is a predicted model, not a curated record. Lineage: Eukaryota; Metazoa; Chordata; Mammalia; Rodentia; Muridae.
CAUGCUCCUAGAGGGGCUGCAGUGUGGCUGCUGUGUCUCACAUGUGUGUCAGGAGCGGCAGAGAGGAGAAAAGCCAUGUCUCUGCUCAGUGUUCAGACCUAGGAAUAGCUGAGUGAUUAGUAGCCUAACAAU